RNAcentral lists this long non-coding RNA (4634 nucleotides) under Mytilus galloprovincialis (Mediterranean mussel). Lineage: Eukaryota; Metazoa; Mollusca; Bivalvia; Mytilida; Mytilidae. The record is from RNAcentral.
ACUUAGUACACUUGUUCCCUAUGAUAUGAUCUUUCUAAUUUUAAUGCCAAAUUAGAGAUUUUCCCCCAUUUUCACAGUCCACUGAACAUAGGAAAUGAUAGUGCGGAUGGGGCAUCCAUGUACUGGAGACACAUUCUUGUUUGAAGUUUAGUAUAGCAUCCAUUUUUACUGAACUAGUACACAUUUUUGUGUAGGGGCCAUCUGAAGGUGGAAUGCAGGAUUUCUCAUUGUAUAGAAGACUUGUUGGUGGUUGCAGCUAUUUUCUGCUCUUAGGUUGGAUUGUUAUCUCUUUGACACAUUCCCAAUUUUUUAAGAUGCUUUCCUAUAAUUAACGUCUGAUACAGUAUGAUAUGAUGUUGUGUAAUGCCCAAUAUACACUACAUAAAGUACAUUAAGUAUUGCUUCAGAUUACACUAAUUGAUAUUCAUCCAAAAAACAUGACACACUGUGAUUAAACAACAACAUAAUAAUGAUAACCUUGAUCAAUAAGUCAUGUUAAAUAAAAAGAAAGAUUUGAAAGACAUUUCCUAAGUUUAUUAAUAGUAUUACUUUGAGAACAAUACUUUUACCUUUGUUGAUAAGGAGCAAAAGAGACCAGAGUGACAGUCAAACUUAUAAAUCCAAAAUUAAAUUGACAACACCAUGGCUAAACAUUUGAAGGGAAGACAUAAAUUGAAUGAGAAGAAACUUGCAUUCAUUCGUUUUAUAAUGGUAGUCCAUCGGAGGCUGUUGUUGGUUAUCAUAUUAGCUUUAGAAUUGUAAACCUGGUACAUUUAAAGAAUAACACAAAAUACAUAAAAUAUAACUUGCUUUAUUGUGAAAGUCUUCAGUUGUGUCAAAACCAUUUGAUAUUUUUGUCAAAUCUCUGACAUUUUUGUCAAAGGUUUAGAAAACAAUGAAGAAAAAUCCCUUAAAAUGAUAAAAACUAGAGGCUCUAAAGAGCCAAUGUCACUCACCUCGAUAUAUACAAAAAACAUACCCAAAUGAUGGUUUGGUUGUUAUUUGCCAUAAAGUUUCAGAAGAUAAGAUUUUUGUAAAAGUUAACGGAUGACAACAGAUACAUGGUGACAACAAUAGCUCAAACUAACCCUUUUGGCCAGAUGAGCUUAAAAGUGAAUAAACAGAAGAAAAAAAUACAUUCUGCUGGUUAACUUCUAUAAAACUGUAUAUAAAAGUGCAUAAACACAUCUUUUGAUGCAAAAAAAUGAUUAUGAUCAUUUACAAAAUUAAAAAAACAUGAUUAUUAUCAUAACAAAAUAAUAAAAACAAAAUUUAUAUCAUCUCAUAUGCAUAAAGAAAAUUAUACAUUCAAACAAGAAAAUUAUCUAAAGUGUAAAAAAAAAAACCAAAAACAAUAUUCUGUAUAACUUCUUAUGCAUAUAAAAAUAUACAAGUACAAUCUAACCUACACCAGAGUCAUAUAAAAGAAGGUAUAGAUGUACCAAAAAUUCAAAAAACAGUUGAAAGUCGAUUUGAUUGAAGAAACUAUCAAAUGUUACUUGGUCCUGAAUUCUACACCUACAUAAGAAAUAUUUAAAGCAGUAUCUGUAUCCAUAUUUGCAUUGUCUCCAAUAAAGAUGAACAGUACUCAUAAUCAGACAGAUGUUUUAAAUGAAGCAACACAUAUCUGUCUGACAUGUCAAAUAAUGGACCAAAGGUUCUUUAUAUUGAUAUUGAUGUGUCAGGUUAAGCACCAUAGAUACUAAGACUUAUAGUUCAAAUAAAGGUACUAGUAUUUAGACUAGUGUGUUAAAUGAAGGCCAUGACUUCAUUAUUUAGACUGCCCUAUCAAAUAAAGCACCAAAGAUAAAGUUAUUUCAGACUGAACUUCGAAAUAAAGCAUCACAGGUACUGAAAAAUGUAAAAAGCUGCCACUACCAACUAUUAAAUGCUUCCUGAAAUGAAAAUUUAUUGAGAGAAAACAACUUUCUUUCAAGGGUUAAAAAUACUAGUAUGCUUUGAGGAACAAAUAAACAUGUAUUAAUAUUAUGCAAAUGUUUCAGCUAAAUAAUUGUGUAUAUACAAAUGUAUAGGUCAAAGUGGGAUACCAUCCUGAAACCAACUCUUGAAAUAAUUAAAUUUUUAGUAAGCAUCCUUGACCUUUAACCUAUUGACUCUAAAAACAAUAGAAUUUUCAACAUUACCUAUAUCUACCAUCUGUAUAAGUUUCGUACAAGCAAACAAGGGAAGUAAAGGCUACAAUACAGAAUCCAUUAUUUCAAUUUUUUAGUUACAAUAACCUUGACCUUGAGCUUUAACCUCUUAACCAAUAGGAAGCUUGAAUUCAAAUGAGAUUUACAAUACAGAUCUUGGAAAAACACAUUAUAACAUUUGUAGUUGGUAACACUUCUCAUCUAUUAUACACUGUACUUGAAGCUUUCUGGGGUGUUCUAGAAAAAGUGCUUUCCUUUCAUAUAAUCAUUGUUUUAUACUAUAAUUUUGGAAGAGUGAAUCUGCAGUAUUUCUGUCUAAUUAUUCAAUGAUGUAACAAUAUAAAGGCGUUCACAGAAAUGUUUGGAAUAGGAUUUUUCAAAAAGUUCACUCAAUUGUAUUUUAGACUACAUGAAAAUUUAGGCCUAAAAGGACAGAGCCAGCAGUAAUUUUUGUUAUAAAACUUGAAAGAACCCAACAUAUUGUCUGCUAUAUGGGGAAAUUGGGGCCACCUCACUGAAUCUACCUCUUCCAAAACUAAUAAGAUCAACACAUUUCCAAAAAUUAAAAAAACCUUGCAUUAAAAAUUAUCAUGAUAAAUUUCUGUCGAGUGAUGUACAUCGUUCAUGAGUUCUUCUUAUAAUAAGCAGGUAACCUAUAAUACUGGAUUAUUAAAAUUGCUGCCACAAAAUGUCCUGUCAAUUUUGAAAUCAUUGCAUAUUCUAAAUUUUCAUAUAGCCUGAACAAACAAUGAAACAUAAACUCUCAGUAUUGCUUACUGGUUCUAUCGAUCUUAUAUUCAUUUAACACUAAGUCAAUAAUUCCCACAUACAUAUCUGACUAUCAAAACCGCCAAACUUGACAGUAAUAUGAUGAGCUAAUACAGAAAUGGUGCUGCAUGGGAAAAUCACUGCUUUUGAAUACAUUUUUUCAUUGUCCAUUUAUGUCGUUUGAAAGUCAAAUAUUUAUUUUGGUCCAUUCAAAUAUUUUAAAACAAAAAUUCUAAAAAUAGUUAAAAUGCCAGUUUUGGUAACAAGAAUUUAUAUAAAUAGUAAAAAUUACAGAUUUAUUGCAGCAAGUCUUAUUAUAUUGCACUCUUACCAAAUUAAAAAAUAAACACAUAUUUUUUCAGAAUUUACAUUCUUAUCACAGGAAUACACAUAUAGUAUUAAAGAUAAUGCUGAUAUGGGAUAUUGAUUAUGUGUAUUUACAAUCAUUCUAAAUACAAGAUUACCAAAUAAAAAACAUAGUGCAUUAUAUACAGUAUUUUAUAUGUACAAGUAAAAAAAUAGUGAACUAUAUAUAGUGGUUGUAUGUACAUGUUUUAAUAUAGAGCAUAAUAUGUUGAGUAUAUUUAUAUCAUAUGUUUAGUAGUAAAAACUGUAGUUUUGCAUAUUUGAUAAAUAGCCUGCUGUUUAAUCCAUAUCGCGCAACUUUGAUGCGCACCCUUCAUCAUAUACCCCUACUUUUUUUUUUUUUUUUUAUUUUUUUUCAAUAACGUCAGUUUUGUAUUUUUUUGGCUUAAGAAAAAUUUUCCUCAAAAUAGGUCCAAUAGAACGGUCAUUUGACCGUGACGCAAUUCAUUGAAUGACGUCAUUGUUUGGUAUGUGACGUCACGAACGUCAAGUUUUUAUAUUUUUUGGCACACUAAAUAAAACUAUAAAAAAUACAAAUCACACAAAAAAAUACAUAAAAAUUAACAAGUAAAGACUUGCGUUACAAUUUUGUUGUAUUUUACAAUCAAAAUAAAUCUCAUAUGUAAGUUUUAAUAUUAUACAUUCUGUUCAUUAGUCAAAAGGGAGUUGACAUAAGUACUACCUUUUUUUAAUCAUGCCAUGAACAAAUCUUGCUUGUUUCUUGCUAAAAAAAACCUUAUAAACUAAUAUGACAAAGAAUAACCGAUGAUUCAUUUGAUCACUUCCUGCUACAGAUUCAAUAUUUUGGUCACCUCUGUAAAAGAAGUGUUGAAGAUUACCGAUUUUCAAUUACUAAGAAUAUAAAAUCCCUGCAACAGUUUUUCCAUACAUAUUUUUGCCUUUAUAGCUUACACUUUUGAUCAUUAAGCCUAAAGCUGACACUUUUAAUCAUAAAAGCCUAAAGCUGACACUUUUGAUCAUUAAAGCUUUGUUUAAUAUUCUGGCAAAGGAACCUAUGAAAAUACUAACAAGAGGCUGUCACAAUGACAGCAAACCGGAUUUAUUAAUAUUUAUUCGUGUCCUGGCAAUAUCACAAGAACCAUUACUGAUGAAUGGUGAAAGUGAAAAUCAUCAAUAUCAAAUUUGACCUCCAUUUUGUCAUCAGUAUCAACAUAUUAAAAUUUGAAAAGCUUGGAUUGAAUGGUUCAUGAGUAAAUGCAACAACGUGAAUGGAAACGCCAUUUUACAAUCUUUCAAGAAACAUUACGCCUGAACGGUAAAAGUCAAAAUCGUCAUUAUUGAACUUGACCUCUAUUUUGUCAUCAGUAACAACAUAUAAAAAUUUCA